Long non-coding RNA from Silurus meridionalis, 503 nucleotides. RefSeq lists it as uncharacterized. The record is from RefSeq and is a predicted model, not a curated record. The transcript is spliced from 3 exons. Lineage: Eukaryota; Metazoa; Chordata; Actinopteri; Siluriformes; Siluridae.
CCGUUUUGUGUUUCCGGAAACCGCAUGAACUCCAGGAAGAAGCGCGUUUGUUACACAGACACCGCUCAGGACAAACACUUGACGAGUUUCCAGGGCGCGUUUUAUGUCCUAAUACGGAUUAAGAGUUAAGUUUAGUUUGGAAACGUGGCAAAAAAGCCUCCCCGGCUGAUAAUUGACCCCAAUUUCUUGAGUUUAGUGAACGCGGUCGGUGCAAAACUUGCAGGAUUUGCCGCGGAGCGGAGCAGGUAGGCACGAGCAGGAGAAAGAGUGCACUACAUAGGGGGCAAAACAAGUGUAGUGCGAUUAGAAAUUGGAGAGAUGAAAAUCCUGGAAAAAAAAAGUUCAGGAGUCUUUCCAAGAACUACACGGAGUUCCCAUUUAUCGCGACCUGCAAAGGGCCUUCAAACGGGAAUCAGCGACCCCUAUGGGUCCGCGGCGGAACUGCAGAGUGUCCUCUAAAUAAUGAUGAAUCACAAAUAAUUUUUGGUUAAAAAAUAAACAAA